UGUUAUUUGGUGAUGACAUUUUCCUUGCAGAAUAUUUUAGGGUUCUUAGAACAUUGAAACUUACCUCAGAAUUAGCUGAGAAUUGAGCAAUUAGAUUUUCUUUGGAGAAUCAUAAAAACAUUUUUGCUCUUUCUGCUCCAACUUUGGUAAAAUUAUAAGGAUUUUCUUCCCACAUCUGAAAGAAUUAGCACAGAUAUUUCAAAAUUAGUGUUUAAGUAAAUAAUUAAUAAAAGAGGAUGAUUUUGUUCUUCCCCGUUUGUCUCUUUUCAUUUCCUUUUCGGUGGUGCCUUAUUGAAACAGUAUCUUCAUAUGUUAAA
RNAcentral lists this long non-coding RNA (317 nucleotides) under Vitis vinifera (wine grape). Its description in RNAcentral is "long non-coding RNA (VVIN_LNC007929)". Lineage: Eukaryota; Viridiplantae; Streptophyta; Magnoliopsida; Vitales; Vitaceae. The record is from RNAcentral.